RNAcentral lists this ribosomal RNA (457 nucleotides) under uncultured bacterium. RNAcentral's name for it is "bacterial SSU rRNA". It matches the Rfam family "Bacterial small subunit ribosomal RNA", at positions 954 to 1387 of the family's 1533-position model. The record is from RNAcentral.
GCUUAACGCGAAGAACCUUACCUGGUCUUGACAUCCACAGAACUUGGCAGAGAUGCCUUGGUGCCUUCGGGAACUGUGAGACAGGUGCUGCAUGGCUGUCGUCAGCUCGUGUUGUGAAAUGUUGGGUUAAGUCCCGCAACGAGCGCAACCCUUAUCCUUUGUUGCCAGCGGUUAGGCCGGGAACUCAAAGGAGACUGCCAGUGAUAAACUGGAGGAAGGUGGGGAUGACGUCAAGUCAUCAUGGCCCUUACGACCAGGGCUACACACGUGCUACAAUGGCAUAUACAAAGAGAAGCGACCUCGCGAGAGCAAGCGGACCUCAUAAAGUAUGUCGUAGUCCGGAUUGGAGUCUGCAACUCGACUCCAUGAAGUCGGAAUCGCUAGUAAUCGUGGAUCAGAAUGCCACGGUGAAUACGUUCCCGGGUCUUGUACACACCGAGGUCUUGUACACACCGGG